AUGCAAAGAGAUGUGAGAGAAAAUAGUUGGAAUAUGCACUUGAUAUAAUUCUAUCUAGUGAUAGACAAGCAGUCCAAAUGGAUCACAAGGUCUAAGUGGACUUAAGAGCAAAAAGUUGUGAGUCACUUUUCAAUAAACAGUCGAAAGGCAAA
Molecule: long non-coding RNA, 152 nt
Organism: Bradysia coprophila
Lineage: Eukaryota; Metazoa; Arthropoda; Insecta; Diptera; Sciaridae
Source: RefSeq, a predicted model, not a curated record